CGCAAGCCUGACGGAGCAAGACCGCGUGGGGGAGGAAUGCCUUAGGGUUGUAAACCCCUUUUAUCUGGGAAGAACAAAAUGACGGUACCAGAUGAAUAAGCCUCGGCUAACUCCGUGCCAGCAGCCGCGGUAAUACGGGGGAUGCAAGCGUUAUCCGGAAUUAUUGGGCGUAAAGAGUCCGUAGGUGGUCUUACAAGUCGACUGUCAAAGCCCGCAGCUUAACUGCGGAGAGGCGGUGGAAACUGUGAGACUUGAGUAUGGUAGGGGUAGAGGGAAUUCCCAGUGUAGCGGUGAAAUGCGUAGAUAUUGGGAAGAACACCGGUGGCGAAAGCGCUCUACUGGACCAUAACUGACACUGAGGGACGAAAGCCAAGGUAGCG
Molecule: ribosomal RNA, 380 nt
Filed under: uncultured cyanobacterium
Lineage: Bacteria; Bacillati; Cyanobacteriota
Description: bacterial SSU rRNA
Rfam family: Bacterial small subunit ribosomal RNA
Source: RNAcentral